ACUGAACGCUGGCGGCAUGCUUUACACAUGCAAGUCGAACGGCAGCACGGGGGCAACCCUGGUGGCGAGUGGCGAACGGGUGAGUAAUAUAUCGGAACGUACCCGGAAAUGGGGGAUAACGUAGCGAAAGUUACGCUAAUACCGCAUAUGCCCUAAGGGGGAAAGCGGGGGAUUCGCAAGAACCUCGCGUUUUCGGAGCGGCCGAUAUCGGAUUAGCUAGUAGGUGAGGUAAAGGCUCACCUAGGCGACGAUCCGUAGCUGGUCUGAGAGGACGACCAGCCACACUGGAACUGAGACACGGUCCAGACUCCUACGGGAGGCAGCAGUGGGGAAUUUUGGACAAUGGGCGCAAGCCUGAUCCAGCCAUGCCGCGUGAGUGAAGAAGGCCUCGGUUGUAAGACUCUUCUAGCCGGAAAGAAAACGACACGGGUUAAUAACCUAGUGUGGAUGACGGUACCGGAAGAAGAAGACA
Molecule: ribosomal RNA, 472 nt
Filed under: uncultured bacterium
Lineage: Bacteria
Description: bacterial SSU rRNA
Rfam family: Bacterial small subunit ribosomal RNA
Source: RNAcentral